GGUUUUACCAGAUGGAUUGCGAGUCCCUCUGGUCACAAAUUAAACGCCAAGAGAAGCAGAUACAGCUCAAAAGGAGGUGGUUGUUGGGGCUUCCUACUUCCAAAUCUGAGCAGAAGAAGUUGGAGAGG
Prunus avium (sweet cherry) is the source of this 128-nucleotide non-coding RNA. Lineage: Eukaryota; Viridiplantae; Streptophyta; Magnoliopsida; Rosales; Rosaceae. The record is from RefSeq and is a predicted model, not a curated record.